GGUUAAGCGACUAAGCGUACACGGUGGAUGCCCUGGCAGUCAGAGGCGAUGAAGGACGUGCUAAUCUGCGAAAAGCGCCGGCGAGGUGAUAUGAACCUUUGACCCGGCGAUGUCCGAAUGGGGAAACCCAGUGCAAUCCGUUGCACUAUCGUUAACUGAAUACAUAGGUUAACGAGGCGAACCGGGGGAACUGAAACAUCUAAGUACCCCGAGGAAAAGAAAUCAACCGAGAUUCCCCCAGUAGCGGCGAGCGAACGGGGAGCAGCCCGGAGUCUGAAUCAGCUUGUGUGUUAGUGGAACGGUCUGGAAAGUCCGACGGUACAGGGUGAUAGUCCCGUACACGAAAGCACACUUGCUGUGAACUCGAAGAGUAGGGCGGGACACGUGGUAUCCUGUCUGAAUAUGGGGGGACCAUCCUCCAAGGCUAAAUACUCCUGACUGACCGAUAGUGAACCAGUACCGUGAGGGAAAGGCGAAAAGAACCCCGGCGAGGGGAGUGAAAAAGAACCUGAAACCGUGUACGUACAAGCAGUGGGAGCCUCUUUAUGGGGUGACUGCGUACCUUUUGUAUAAUGGGUCAGCGACUUAUAUUCUGUAGCAAGGUUAACCGUAUAGGGGAGCCGAAGGGAAACCGAGUCUUAACUGGGCGUUAAGUUGCAGGGUAUAGACCCGAAACCCGGUGAUCUAGCCAUGGGCAGGUUGAAGGUUGGGUAACACUAACUGGAGGACCGAACCGACUAAUGUUGAAAAAUUAGCGGAUGACCUGUGGCUGGGGGUGAAAGGCCAAUCAAACCGGGAGAUAGCUGGUUCUCCCCGAAAGCUAUUUAGGUAGCGCCUCGUGAACUCAUCUUCGGGGGUAGAGCACUGUUUCGGCUAGGGGGCCAUCCCGGCUUACCAACCCGAUGCAAACUACGAAUACCGAAGAAUGUUAUCACGGGAGACACACGGCGGGUGCUAACGUCCGUCGUGAAGAGGGAAACAACCCAGACCGCCAGCUAAGGUCCCAAAGUCAUGGUUAAGUGGGAAACGAUGUGGGAAGGCACAGACAGCCAGGAUGUUGGCUUAGAAGCAGCCAUCAUUUAAAGAAAGCGUAAUAGCUCACUGGUCGAGUCGGCCUGCGCGGAAGAUGUAACGGGGCUAAACCAUGCACCGAAGCUGCGGCAGCGACACUAUGUGUUGUUGGGUAGGGGAGCGUUCUGUAAGCCGUUGAAGGUGUCCUGUGAGGGGUGCUGGAGGUAUCAGAAGUGCGAAUGCUGACAUAAGUAACGAUAAAGCGGGUGAAAAGCCCGCUCGCCGGAAGACCAAGGGUUCCUGUCCAACGUUAAUCGGGGCAGGGUGAGUCGACCCCUAAGGCGAGGCCGAAAGGCGUAGUCGAUGGGAAACAGGUUAAUAUUCCUGUACUUGGUGUUACUGCGAAGGGGGACGGAGAAGGCUAUGUCAGCCGGGCGACGGUUGUCCCGGUUUAAGCAUGUAGGCGGAGGUUCCAGGUAAAUCCGGUACCUUAUUAACGCUGAGGUGUGAUGACGAGGCACUACGGUGCUGAAGUGAUAAAUGCCCUGCUUCCAGGAAAAGCCUCUAAGCAUCAGGUAACACGAAAUCGUACCCCAAACCGACACAGGUGGUCAGGUAGAGAAUACCAAGGCGCUUGAGAGAACUCGGGUGAAGGAACUAGGCAAAAUGGUGCCGUAACUUCGGGAGAAGGCACGCUGAUGUGUAGGUGAAGCCCCUGCGGGCGGAGCUGAAAUCAGUCGAAGAUACCAGCUGGCUGCAACUGUUUAUUAAAAACACAGCACUGUGCAAACACGAAAGUGGACGUAUACGGUGUGACGCCUGCCCGGUGCCGGAAGGUUAAUUGAUGGGGUUAGCGGCAACGCGAAGCUCUUGAUCGAAGCCCCGGUAAACGGCGGCCGUAACUAUAACGGUCCUAAGGUAGCGAAAUUCCUUGUCGGGUAAGUUCCGACCUGCACGAAUGGCGUAAUGAUGGCCAGGCUGUCUCCACCCGAGACUCAGUGAAAUUGAACUCGCUGUGAAGAUGCAGUGUACCCGCGGCAAGACGGAAAGACCCCGUGAACCUUUACUAUAGCUUGACACUGAACACUGGUCCUUGAUGUGUAGGAUAGGUGGGAGGCUUUGAAGCGUGGACGCCAGUCUGCGUGGAGCCAACCUUGAAAUACCACCCUUUAAUGGCUGGUGUUCUAACGUAGACCCGUAAUCCGGGUUGCGGACAGUGUCUGGUGGGUAGUUUGACUGGGGCGGUCUCCUCCCAAAGAGUAACGGAGGAGCACGAAGGUUGGCUAAUCCUGGUCGGACAUCAGGAGGUUAGUGCAAUGGCAUAAGCCAGCUUGACUGCGAGCGUGACGGCGCGAGCAGGUGCGAAAGCAGGUCAUAGUGAUCCGGUGGUUCUGAAUGGAAGGGCCAUCGCUCAACGGAUAAAAGGUACUCCGGGGAUAACAGGCUGAUACCGCCCAAGAGUUCAUAUCGACGGCGGUGUUUGGCACCUCGAUGUCGGCUCAUCACAUCCUGGGGCUGAAGUAGGUCCCAAGGGUAUGGCUGUUCGCCAUUUAAAGUGGUACGCGAGCUGGGUUUAGAACGUCGUGAGACAGUUCGGUCCCUAUCUGCCGUGGGCGCUGGAGAAUUGAGGGGGCUGCUCCUAGUACGAGAGGACCGGAGUGGACGCAUCACUGGUGUUCGGGUUGUCAUGCCAAUGGCACUGCCCGGUAGCUAAAUGCGGAAAAGAUAAGUGCUGAAAGCAUCUAAGCACGAAACUUGCCCCGAGAUGAGUUCUCCCUGAGACCUUGAGUCUCCUGAAGGAACGUUGAAGACGACGACGUUGAUAGGUCGGGUGUGUAAGCGCAGCGAUGCGUUGAGCUAACCGAUACUAAUGAACCGUGAGGCUUAACCUU
Molecule: ribosomal RNA, 2903 nt
Filed under: Enterobacter hormaechei
Lineage: Bacteria; Pseudomonadati; Pseudomonadota; Gammaproteobacteria; Enterobacterales; Enterobacteriaceae
Description: 23S ribosomal RNA
Rfam family: Bacterial large subunit ribosomal RNA
Source: RNAcentral